Molecule: ribosomal RNA, 269 nt
Filed under: uncultured prokaryote
Description: partial 16S ribosomal RNA
Rfam family: Bacterial small subunit ribosomal RNA
Source: RNAcentral
UACGUAGGUGGCAAGCGUUGUUCGGAUUUACUAGGCGUAAAGGGAGCGUAGGCGGCCGGGUGUGUCGAAUGUGAAAGCCCACAACUCAACUGUGGAAUGGCAUUAGAAACUACCUGGCUAGAGUACUGGAGAGGAGAGCGGAAUUCUUGGUGUAGCGGUGAAAUGCGUAGAUAUUAGGAGGAACACCAGUAGCGAAGGCGGCUCUCUGGACUGUAACUGACGCUGAGGCACGAAAGCGUGGGGAGCAAACAGGAUUAGAUACCCGGGUA